This is a non-coding RNA of Pelecanus crispus (Dalmatian pelican), 219 nucleotides long. NCBI's taxonomy places the organism in Eukaryota, Metazoa, Chordata, Aves, Pelecaniformes, Pelecanidae. The record is from RefSeq and is a predicted model, not a curated record.
AAACAUACAAUGACAUAGAUGCUGUUACACGUCUUCUUGAAGAGAAAGAACGGGACUUAGAAUUAGCUGCUCGGAUUGGCCAGUCGCUGUUAAAGAAGAAUAAAUCACUGACAGAAAGAAAUGAGUUCCUGGAGGAGCAAGUAGAACACAUCAGGGAAGAGGUUUCUCAGUUGCGGCAUGAGCUCUCCAUGAAAGAUGAGCUGCUCCAGUUCUAUACCA